RNAcentral lists this ribosomal RNA (253 nucleotides) under uncultured bacterium. Its description in RNAcentral is "partial 16S ribosomal RNA". It matches the Rfam family "Bacterial small subunit ribosomal RNA", at positions 524 to 776 of the family's 1533-position model. The record is from RNAcentral.
UACGUAGGGAGCAAGCGUUGUCCGGAAUCAUUGGGCGUAAAGCGCGCGUAGGCGGCCCUGUAAGUCCGCUGUGAAAGUCAAAGGCUCAACCUUUGAAAGCCGGUGGAUACUGCAGGGCUAGAGUCCGGAAGAGGCGAGUGGAAUUCCUGGUGUAGCGGUGGAAUGCGUAGAGAUGUGGAGGAACACCGAUGGCGAAGGCAGCCCCCUGGGCUAACACUGACGCUCAUGCACGAAAGCGUGGGGAGCAAACAGG